Drosophila navojoa is the source of this 732-nucleotide long non-coding RNA. The record is from RefSeq and is a predicted model, not a curated record. Lineage: Eukaryota; Metazoa; Arthropoda; Insecta; Diptera; Drosophilidae.
GCGGGAAUCAUUCGUUCAGCAGCCAGCGGAGCAAGUGAACGUGCGAGGCGCAUGCGCGCUCGGCCUGCAAAAAUAAUAUUGUAGAAAAAACACACACACACACAGAAACUCGUGUUUCGUUCGCGUGCUCGUGCGUGCAGCGUGAUUCGUGUCGUUCGGCUGCAACUCUUGUGUUUUGUUUUUGCAUAUUGUAUGCACGCUUCGUCGCGCGUGGAAUAUUACAACAACGCAGCCCACUUUAAAGAGGAGCAUGAAAAGCAAUUACAUAAACAUAUAAACAUUAUCUAUUGUUUUGUCUGUGGUUCAUUGUUCCUUGCGGCCCAUUCUAUAAGUCCACAGCAAAACCAACACGAAACGCCAAGCGAAUGAACCAAUUUUAUUUCCCCUGUGUUGUUUACAAAACCAAAAAGAUCGAAACCCGGCUAUAAACCAGAAAUUAUGUAGAAAAGGCAAGCGACAAGCAAUGCGGUUUCUACGAAUUGCUGUUGGCUUGGAGAAUUCUUGAAAAGCAACAAGAAGAGAAAAAAAAAACCAAGCAAGAAAAAUAAAAACAAAAAGUGAAAGUGUAUUAAACAAAAAAAAAAAAAAAAAAAUCGACUCCUGUUUGUUGCAGUCCGUGGGCGUGCCAAGGUACGCAGAUCUGUAAAACAUUGUUGUUUUUCUUUUACCGUCCACUGACUCGUCAAAAUUCCAAGCGCGAAUUUCAUGGCUUGGUUAUGCAAAAGACAACAA